AAUGAACGCUGGCGGCGUGCUUUACACAUGCAAGUCGAGCGAGGCGGCCCGCAAGGGCUAGUCGAGCGGCGAACGGGUGAGUAACGCGUGGAUUAUCUGCCCUGAGGUGGGGGAUAACCCGGGGAAACUCGGGCUAAUACCGCAUAUGACCGUGAGGUCAAAGGGGGGUCGCAAGAUCUCUCGCCAUAGGAGGAGUCCGCGUACGAUUAGCUAGUUGGUAGGGUAAUGGCCUACCAAGGCGACGAUCGUUAGCCGGCCUGAGAGGGUGAUCGGCCACACUGGAACUGAGACACGGUCCAGACUCCUACGGGAGGCAGCAGUGGGGAAUUUUGCGCAAUGGGCGAAAGCCUGACGCAGCAACGCCGCGUGGAGGAUGAAGGUCCUUGGAUUGUAAACUCCUGUCAGCAGGGAAAAAGCAACCUGACCUCAUACGUCAGGGAGUUGAUUGUACCUGCAGAGGAA
This 462-nucleotide ribosomal RNA is filed under the name uncultured bacterium. RNAcentral describes it as "bacterial SSU rRNA". It matches the Rfam family "Bacterial small subunit ribosomal RNA", at positions 29 to 489 of the family's 1533-position model. The record is from RNAcentral.